AACGAACGCUGGCGGCAGGCCUAACACAUGCAAGUCGAACGAGAAGCUUUCCUUCGGGGAAGUGGAUAGUGGCAGACGGGUGAGCAACGCGUGGGAACGUGCCUUUCGGUUCGGAAUAACUCAGGGAAACUUGGGCUAAUACCGAAUACGCCCUCCGGGGGAAAGGAUUUAUCGCCGAAAGAUCGGCCCGCGUCGGAUUAGCUUGUUGGUGAGGUAAAAGCUCACCAAGGCGACGAUCCGUAGCUGGUCUGAGAGGAUGAUCAGCCACACUGGGACUGAGACACGGCCCAGACUCCUACGGGAGGCAGCAGUGGGGAAUAUUGGACAAUGGGCGCAAGCCUGAUCCAGCCAUGCCGCGUGGGUGAAGAGGCCCUAGGGUUGUAACCCCUUUCACGCGGGGAAGAGUAAUGACGGUA
This 416-nucleotide ribosomal RNA is filed under the name uncultured Alphaproteobacteria bacterium. RNAcentral describes it as "bacterial SSU rRNA". It matches the Rfam family "Bacterial small subunit ribosomal RNA", at positions 29 to 477 of the family's 1533-position model. The record is from RNAcentral. Lineage: Bacteria; Pseudomonadati; Pseudomonadota; Alphaproteobacteria.